GGUGGGAUGGCCGAGCGGUUUAAGGCGGCGGUCUUGAAAACCGUUGAGCGAGAGCUCCGGGGGUUCGAAUCCCUCUCCCACCGCCA
RNAcentral lists this transfer RNA (86 nucleotides) under candidate division BRC1 bacterium ADurb.Bin183. Its description in RNAcentral is "tRNA-Ser". It matches the Rfam family "tRNA". From Rfam's summary of the family: Transfer RNA (tRNA) molecules are approximately 80 nucleotides in length. Lineage: Bacteria; Candidatus Sumerlaeota. The record is from RNAcentral. RNAcentral also lists the same sequence under 2 other names.